RNA transcript from Belonocnema kinseyi, 4586 nucleotides. It is a transcript of the gene named cleavage and polyadenylation specificity factor subunit 1, with no coding region annotated. The record is from RefSeq and is a predicted model, not a curated record. NCBI's taxonomy places the organism in Eukaryota, Metazoa, Arthropoda, Insecta, Hymenoptera, Cynipidae. The transcript has 21 exons.
AUGUAUUCUAUUUGCAAAAGUACGCAUCCGGCUACCGGCGUGGAACACUCCAUAACGUGUUAUUUUUUUAAUCGUUCGGAAAAAUGUCUCGUCGUUGCAGGGGCAAAUAUCAUUCGGGUAUUUCGCUUAAUACCUGACAUUGACAGUACAAAGAGGGAAAAAUAUACAGAAGCUCGCCCUCCGAAAAUGAAACUAGAAUGCUUAGCACAGUAUACACUACAUGGAAAUGUAAUGUCGAUGCAAGCUGUUCGUCUUGUAGGAUCUCAAAGAGAUUCACUUCUCUUAAGUUUUCGUGAUGCGAAACUGUCGGUUCUGGAGUACGAUAUAGAAACGCACGGUCUUCGUACAGUAUCUUUGCAUUAUUUCGAAGAAGAAGAAAUGCGAGAUGGGUGGACAAAUCAUCAUCACGUACCUAUAGUAAGAGUAGACCCAGAAGGCAGAUGCGCUGUUAUGUUGAUUUAUGGCCGAAAAUUAGUCGUCUUACCUUUUCGUAAAGAUCCCACUUUAGAUGAUGGCGACUUUAUUGAAAAUGCAAAGAUAUCAAGUAAAGCGCCAAUAUUGGCAUCUUACAUGGUAUUUCUCAAGAAUUUAGAGGAAAAGAUCGAUAAUAUCAUCGAUUUACAAUUUUUAUAUGGAUAUUACGAACCUACACUGUUAAUACUGUACGAACCAGUACGGACAUUCUCAGGACGUAUAGCCGUAAGACAAGAUACCUGCGCGAUGGUUGCAAUAUCCUUGAAUAUUCAACAAAAAGUGCAUCCAAUUAUCUGGUCUGUAUCGAAUUUACCCUUCGAUUGUUACCAGGCAGUACCAGUAAAAAAACCUCUAGGAGGGACAUUAAUUAUAUCAGUAAAUUCUUUGAUAUAUCUCAAUCAAAGCAUACCACCCUAUGGUGUAUCCUUGAAUAGUUUAGCAGAAACAAGUACAAAUUUUCCUCUUAAACCUCAAGAAGGAGUAAAAAUAAGCUUAGAAGGUGCACAGGUUGCAUUUAUUUCAGCAGAUCGUUUAGUAAUGUCUCUGAAAAGUGGAGAAUUGUACGUUUUGUCACUUUUCGCGGACAGCAUGCGGGCUGUACGUGGCUUUCAUUUUGACAAAGCGGCAGCUAGUGUUUUAACUUCAUGCGUUUGCUUGUGCGAGGAAAGCUAUCUAUUCCUUGGCUCACGUCUCGGAAAUUCUUUAUUAUUAAGAUUCACUGAAAAAGAAAAUGAAAGUACACAAAGUAAUCGCGAUUCAGAUUUGUUCUUUAAUGAUAGCACUGGAGAAACUCCUGCGAAAAAAGUGAAACAAGAUUUUUUGGGAGAUUGGAUGGCUUCAGACGUUUUGGACAUUAAAGAUCCCGAAGAACUUGAAGUCUACGGAAAUGAAACUCAGACAUCUAUUCAAAUUACAUCUUACAGUUUUGAAGUUUGUGACAGUUUGUUGAACAUAGGACCUUGUGGUAAUAUUUCCAUGGGAGAACCUGCUUUUUUAUCCGAAGAAUUUUCGCAGGCGCACGAUCCUGAUGUGGAAUUAGUGACUACUUCUGGUUAUGGAAAAAAUGGCGCUCUAUGCGUUUUGCAAAGAUCCAUUCGUCCUCAGGUUGUUACAACGUUUGAACUGCCUGGUUGCGAAGAUAUGUGGACCGUAAUUGGCCCUGCAAAUGAUGAUCUGGAUAAAUCUGAAACGGAAGGAGUACACGCCUUUCUAAUUUUAAGUCAUGAAGAUUCGACCAUGAUUCUCCAAACGGGCCAAGAAAUUAACGAAGUAGAUCAAAGUGGUUUUAGUACACAAGGAACGACUGUGUUUGCUGGUAACUUAGGCGGAAAUAAAUAUAUCAUACAGAUCACACAAACGGGCGUGCGAUUGAUGAUCGGCACUGAGCAAAUUCAGCACAUGCCAAUGGAUUUUGGCUGUCCCAUCAUACACGCAAGUUGCGCAGAUCCAUACGUUGUGCUGCUCACCGAAGAUGGUCAAGUAAUGCUCUUAACACUCAGAGAAGGUAGAGGGACAGCCCGAUUACAUGUUCAACCUGCAAAUUUACUAUACCGACCACAAAUAGAAGCCGUAUGUGCAUACAGAGAUGUGAGCGGUAUUUUCACAACCCAUUUAGCAGAAGAGGUAGAAGAUCUCUCAUCCGAAAAGGAGAAACAAUUCGAUGAACCCGCCAUUGUUGAGAAUAUUGAUAACGAGGACGAAUUGCUUUAUGGUGAUGCACCUGCUUUUCAAAUGCCAUUAAUACCACAAGCUAAACCUAGUGAUUCGACUUCUAAAAAGAUUCCUUGGUGGCAGAAAUCUCUGCAAGAAAUUAAACCUACAUAUUGGUUACUUGUGUACAGAGACAGUGGAACUUUAGAAAUUUAUUCUUUGCCUGAUUUGCGCUUGUCGUAUCUCAUAAAGAGUUUUGGUUAUGGACAAAGCGUUUUGCACGACAGUAUGGAAUCAACUACUGUAACUUCGACACAAGUAAAUGAAAUACCAAAUCCAGAAAUGCAGGUUCGAGAGAUUUUAAUUGUCGCCUUGGGUCAUCAUGGGAACAGGCCAAUGUUAUUGGUUAGGUUAGACAAUGAACUGCAAAUGUAUCAAGCGUAUAAGUAUCCGAAGGGUUACCUGAAACUUCGAUUUAAGAAGCUGGAUCAUGGCAUCAUACCAGGAAUUUUAAGAUCAAAACUUAAGGAGGAGGAUUUGGGCACGCAGGAUGAUCGACGAGUUUCUGUAAUGCGGUACUUCAGUAAUAUCGCGGGUUAUAACGGGGUUUUCAUUUGCGGAGAUUAUCCGCAUUGGAUAUUCUUAACAGGUCGUGGAGAAUUGCGCGCGCAUCCAAUGACAAUUGACGGACCCAUUAAAUCAUUUGCACCUUUUAAUAAUGUCAAUUGUCCACAGGGAUUUUUGUAUUUCAACAGGAAGGAGGAAUUGCGAAUUUGUGUAUUGCCCACACAUCUUUCGUACGAUGCUCCGUGGCCCGUGAGAAAAGUUCCUUUAAGAUGUACGCCUCACUUUGUUACUUAUCAUCUUGAAAGUAAAACGUAUUGCGUAAUAACGAGCGUAGCUGAGCCGCUAAAAAGUUAUUAUAGAUUUAACGGAGAAGACAAGGAAUUUACCGAGGAAGAACGAUCGGACAGAUUUUUAUAUCCCUCUCAGGAACAGUUUUGUAUAAUAUUAUUUUCACCAGUUUCAUGGGAAACAAUUCCUAAUACGAAAAUCGAAUUAGAUCAAUGGGAACAUGUUACAUGCCUUAAGAAUGUCUCCCUUGCUUAUGAAGGGACGAGGUCUGGUCUCAAGGGAUACAUUGUACUUGGAACAAAUUAUAACUAUGGAGAGGAUAUUACCAGCAGAGGCAGGAUAUUAAUUUUUGACAUAAUCGAAGUUGUUCCUGAGCCAGGUCAACCUUUAACGAAAAAUAGGUUCAAGCAAAUUUACGCCAAAGAACAAAAAGGACCUAUCACGGCUAUAAGUCAAGUAUCCGGCUUUUUGGUAUCUGCUGUCGGCCAAAAGAUAUACAUUUGGCAAUUGAAAGACAAUGAUCUUGUAGGUGUUGCAUUUAUAGAUACCCAGAUUUACAUUCACCAAAUGUUAAGUAUUAAAAGUUUAAUACUGGUAGCGGAUGUUUACAAGUCGAUCAGUCUAUUGAGAUUUCAAGAAGAGUAUCGAACUCUUUCGCUCGUGAGCAGGGAUUUUCGACCAGCGGAAGUUUUUACCAUAGAGUACCUGAUCGACAACAACAAUCUCGGAUUCCUCGUAGCCGAUGGCGAAAGCAAUCUUGCGCUCUUCAUGUAUCAGCCUGAAUCGAGGGAAAGUUUGGGAGGUCAAAAACUUAUUCGAAAAGCUGAUUUCCAUUUAGGUCAGAAAGUUAACUCAUUUUUCCGGAUAAAAUGUAAAACGACGGAUCCUGCUAAUAGCAGGAAACAGUUUAUUGGUGCUGAUAAGAGGCACGUAACCAUGUAUGCAACCUUAGAUGGAAGUCUCGGAUAUAUUCUUCCAGUACCUGAAAAAACUUACAGACGACUUCUUAUGCUGCAGAAUGUUUUGGUGUCGCACAUUUGCCACAUUGGAGGUUUAAAUCCAAAGUCUUAUAGGACAUAUAAAAGUUACGUGCGUAUGCAAGGAAAUCCUGCGAGAGGCAUAAUCGACGGAGAUCUAAUCUGGAAAUACCUGAACUUACCUUUCAAUGAGAAAUCAGAAGUAGCCAAGAAAAUUGGAACACGUAUUCCCGAAAUAAUAGAAGAUAUAGAAGAAAUUAACCGACAAACGGCUCAUUUUUAAAGUUUUUACAUGUAAAAAAUCCAUGUAUGCCGUCCCCAUGAAGUUUGGUAUUUAUUGUUUUCAAUGUCAUGUCAACUUCAUGAGCUAUGAGGUGCGAUCUGUCAGACUAUCACAAAGCAGUCCUUUGUUUCGUGUAAUAAUCUUUCAAUUUGUAAAAUAUGUUGUUUUUUUGGUUGAAAUGAUUGUAUUUUUUACCUAGAAAUACUGUAAAUUUAUUAUGUGAGGUAUAGAAAAAUGACAAAAACGUUGUGAACAAUUUUUAGGCAAAAUGAAAAAAUCUAGAGUAAUUUGCACCAACCCUACAGGAUUCAGCCGGAAAAGUGUUUUUGAAAACAGAGCAUCUAGAU